RNAcentral lists this ribosomal RNA (475 nucleotides) under uncultured bacterium. RNAcentral describes it as "bacterial SSU rRNA". It matches the Rfam family "Bacterial small subunit ribosomal RNA", at positions 28 to 507 of the family's 1533-position model. The record is from RNAcentral.
GACGAACGCUGGCGGCGUGCUCCAGACAUGCAAGUCGAGCGGGCGGAGGUCGAACCGCAAGGGGAGGCUGAAGCUAGCGGCGAACGGGUGAGUAACACGUGGGUAAUCUACCCGGAAGACUGGGAUAACGGCCCGAAAGGGCCGCUAAUACCGGAUAAUAUCGCGGUCUCGCAUGAGGCUGCGAAGAAAGGCGAAAGCCACUUUCGGAUGAGCCCGCGACCCAUCAGCUAGUUGGUGAGGUAACGGCUCACCAAGGCGACGACGGGUAGCCGGUCUGAGAGGAUGGUCGGCCACACUGGGACUGAGAUACGGCCCAGACUCCUACGGGAGGCAGCAGUCGGGAAUAUUGGGCAAUGGGCGAAAGCCUGACCCAGCGACGCCGCGUGAGGGAAGAAGGCCUUCGGGUCGUAAACCUCUGUCAUCGGGGACGAAGGAAGUGACGGUACCCGAGGAGGAAGCCCCUGCUAACUACGUG